Esox lucius (northern pike) is the source of this 741-nucleotide long non-coding RNA. RefSeq lists it as uncharacterized. Lineage: Eukaryota; Metazoa; Chordata; Actinopteri; Esociformes; Esocidae. The record is from RefSeq and is a predicted model, not a curated record. The transcript has 3 exons.
CUUUGAUGUAGGGUGAGAAUGACUCAGCUACAUGAAUAACACAUUCAGUUUUGAUGACCUGAGCUGGAGACGCUGCAUCUAAAUUUCCCACGGCCAUUUAAGACAGUAACUCUUGAAGGCCUUACUGUCGUUGCUAAAGACAAGUCUCCUAUCAAUGCAGGGUUGAUAUGGGGAAGCUGCUGACAGCCAUUAGGAAACAGUGUGGUGGUGGUUGCCUCCUGGGAUGUAUGAGUGUGCACACAUCUGAGUGAGUCUGUGCACGUGCAGGUGUUUGUGCACGUGGACCCGUAUGAACAUUUGAUUGUAUUGGCGUGUUUUUCGAAGGGCGGGGUCUCUGUUCUAAAGGUCUGUCCGCACAUCUGAAAUGUCAAUCUUCGUUAUGAAGAGGAAGAACGGCAACAUAUGGAUGCUACCUGUCUGAACCUCCAGUGACUGGACCAUGGGAAGAUGUGUGUGGAAGAUGUCUCGCCUACCAAAACCAGGUCAUGUCCAACAACUGAUUCAAAAACAAAUCUGACAACAUAAGGCCCGAAAGGCUUUCAUCGACUUCCAGCCUGUUGGAACCAACAUCCCAGAGUAUCUUCGCCAGGCAAUGAAGAGACCUGAACCAUUUGUACUUGCUCUUGGCAACAGUCAGGUUUCUCAAGCAUUUACUGUAAUAAAUGGAGAGGCGCUUGAGAACAGAACCUUGCUGGGAGCAGUUGAUACCUGUUUCAAGGCGUUUUACUUCUUUGACAUCAA